This is a long non-coding RNA of Echinops telfairi (small Madagascar hedgehog), 1951 nucleotides long. RefSeq lists it as uncharacterized. The record is from RefSeq and is a predicted model, not a curated record. The transcript has 2 exons. NCBI's taxonomy places the organism in Eukaryota, Metazoa, Chordata, Mammalia, Afrosoricida, Tenrecidae.
GUUCUUUUCUGAUCAAACCUUGACUGAAUCCCCACCCUAAUUGUUUUCACUUUAUAGUGCUUACUGCUUUAUCAUCUGUAUCAGCUUCUUUAUUGUUUCCCCAAUUACAAUGACAUUCUGAGAGGUUAAGGUCCGUGUCUGUUUAAGCCUACCAUCUGGAGUAUGUCUGGGUACAUAUGCUCAGAAAUAGUUUGGAAUGAAUGAAGGAGAGGAAUACUGAACAGGAGUUUUGAACACGUACCUCCUGUGUGGUGGUGAGGUGCUGUCAAUAGAUUUGACGUAGAGCACCCCAGGUGACAGUAGAACCGGAGUCGUUCCGCAGUUCUUUGUCCCAGGGAGCCACGGAGUAGAUCAUUGCGGAGCACUGGACUGUCCUAGUAACGUAGCAUUCCCGAGAGAACCUCCUGUAGAAGUGCCAGUCAUCUUUAGCCUGUCCUUUAUUCAAUAAUACGGCACUGGGAAUGUGUGAAAGCUUGUAGAAGUAGUCAAAUAGUUGUGAAGUGUAAUCCCUUAAAACAUUAUAAAGUGAUUCUUCGAGUUAACAGAGCCUAUCCCCCCGCUUUUUUAAAAAAAAUAUCCUUACAGCUAAUGCCCCCAAACCAAACUGAUUGCCACCAAGUAGAUUCUGACUCAUAGCGACCCUCUGUAGGGUUUCUGAGGUUGUAAGUCUACCGGAGUGCAUAGACUCAACUUCCUCCCGAGAGUUUUAGCCCAACAGCAAACCCAGACCUCCUUACCGCAAUGAAAAGCACUAAUUUGAUAGCUCAGUCUGAGUUAGCUAGAAGUCAAAAAGGUUAGUGAUCAGGAGCAUCUGGAAGAAAAUAGGAAAACUGAAAAUGACACGCCUAAAAAGAAUCCGUUGCAGUCAAAUUGACGCCAAGUCACGGUAACCUGUGCAUAGAUGGUAUCGUGCAUACAUGUGAACAAAUACACACAAGUAUAUGCAUACACAGUCAUUCUAUUACACAGAUUUUACUAGACGGAUUCUGGUUACCAUUCGGUUCUGUAUUCCUGUCUCUCUCCAUUCUUUUGUUGCCACCGUGACACCUCUGGCUUAUGCGGUCCGUUUAUAACAGAAUGAAGCAUUGCCAAGCCCCGCACCACCUUCACCAUCCUCAUCAUCACGGUCUGCUGUUGCAGCUACUUUGUAAGUUGAAUACCUCCCAGCCCAGGGGUUCAUCUUCCACGGCACAUCAUGGGACAGCGCUCUCAUACUGUUUGCACUGGCCGGUGUUUAAAACGAUACCCCCGUCUUCCUAGUGUGGCUUAGCUUUGAUACUGUGAAACCUGCUCCUAUGGAUGACCUGACUGGUGUUUGAAAUGCAAGUAGCGUAAACUCCAAGCCACACUCCUUGCCACCGCGUCAAGUCUGACUCAGUGACCCUAGUGACUCUAUGGCAAUAGAAAGCAUCAUCUUUCUCCCAUGGAGCGGCUGGUGAGUUCAAACUAUUGCCCUUGUGAUGAGCAGCCCAAAAUGUAACCACUGUGUCACCAUAACUACUAAAAAAUACCAUCGAGUUAAUUUUGACUCACGGUGACCUCAUGCACAGAGUAGAACUGGGGUAAGUGCCCCUGGUGAACUUGAACCUCUAACCUUUUCAUUAGCAUGUUAUGUGCUCCACCUAAAGAGUUCAUCCACUGCAAAAAACUGUUACACCAUUGUACUUUCCCCCCCAGUCUGCUGUAUCUGAACGUUGUUGGCUUCUGGGAUUUUCUUAUUUGAUUCAAAACUGAAUUUAAUAUUUUAUGUAAUAUUAGAUGUCAAUCUGAUUAGGGAAAAUUGUUUUUAUUUGCAUUUCUUUUUAGAGUUAUGUUUAUAAAAACUAGCUUUCCUGUUCUGUAAUCUGCCCAUAUCUUUUUCUACCUACUUUUAUUUUGGAUCAAUUGUCUUUACUUACCGAUUUGUUGGAGCUCUUUAUUUAAAAAAAAAAGAUAGUUUAUGAGUUUAAAA